UACGUAGGGGGCAAGCGUUGUCCGGAUUUAUUGGGCGUAAAGAGCGUGUAGGCGGCCAGGUAGGUCUGCUGUGAAAUCUCCGGGCUCAACCCGGAAACUGCAUUGCGAACUGACCUAGCUGGAGUGCAGGAGAGGGCAGCGGAAUUCCCGGUGUAGCGGUGAAAUGCGUAGAUAUCGUAAGGAAGACCAGUGGCGAAGGCGGGUCUCUGGACAGUUCCUGACGCUGAGGCACGAAGGCCAGGGGAGCAAACGGG
Molecule: ribosomal RNA, 254 nt
Filed under: uncultured bacterium
Lineage: Bacteria
Description: partial 16S ribosomal RNA
Rfam family: Bacterial small subunit ribosomal RNA
Source: RNAcentral